UUUUCUUUAUAAAGUUCCAAUGCUUCAAGGAGAAGUAGGGUCUCUUGAUCUGUCCACUUCCCACCACUUAAACCAGGAGCCUCUGCAGGUUCCAUAAGAAUAAAAUCUGAUGAAGACAUGUCUGAACCAAAUUUCCCAUUAUUAAAGCAAUCAGCACAUAAAUCAUAAUCUGCCUGCUUCUGGCAAUGGUAGCGCUUGCGAGAGCAAUCUGUUGAACAAGAAUUGCAGUGGUAUUCAACAGCUGGCCCCUCAGCCCUCACCAACUCUUCUGCAAGUGAAGACUCGGGAAAAAACCCAGAUGCCAUAGCAGGAGUCGAAAGAUUAGGCUUCGGAACAACAGAUGGACAUGGUUGAAUGGUUUCAAAGUGAAAUAACUUUUCAAGCAACGAGUCCUUCCUCGCAUCUCUAUCACCAUCUGCAUUGGCAGCAGAAUCUAUUUGUGGGAAUGGAUGGAAAUUAAUCAAUCCCCAAUAGUCCAAGAACUCUAGCACCUCUUGCUUUGCAUCAAGGUCUGCAACAUCAAGCUCAGACAGAUCUUUCAAUUCAAU
This 548-nucleotide unclassified non-coding RNA is filed under the name Hevea brasiliensis (rubber tree). The record is from RNAcentral. Lineage: Eukaryota; Viridiplantae; Streptophyta; Magnoliopsida; Malpighiales; Euphorbiaceae.